RNAcentral lists this ribosomal RNA (1715 nucleotides) under Salmonella enterica. Its description in RNAcentral is "partial 23S ribosomal RNA". It matches the Rfam family "Bacterial large subunit ribosomal RNA", at positions 711 to 2407 of the family's 2925-position model. Lineage: Bacteria; Pseudomonadati; Pseudomonadota; Gammaproteobacteria; Enterobacterales; Enterobacteriaceae. The record is from RNAcentral.
AGACCCGAAACCCGGUGAUCUAGCCAUGGGCAGGUUGAAGGUUGGGUAACACUAACUGGAGGACCGAACCGACUAAUGUUGAAAAAUUAGCGGAUGACCUGUGGCUGGGGGUGAAAGGCCAAUCAAACCGGGAGAUAGCUGGUUCUCCCCGAAAGCUAUUUAGGUAGCGCCUCGUGAAUUCAUCUCCGGGGGUAGAGCACUGUUUCGGCUAGGGGGCCAUCCCGGCUUACCAACCCGAUGCAAACUGCGAAUACCGGAGAAUGUUAUCACGGGAGACACACGGCGGGUGCUAACGUCCGUCGUGAAGAGGGAAACAACCCAGACCGCCAGCUAAGGUCCCAAAGUCAUGGUUAAGUGGGAAACGAUGUGGGAAGGCCCAGACAGCCAGGAUGUUGGCUUAGAAGCAGCCAUCAUUUAAAGAAAGCGUAAUAGCUCACUGGUCGAGUCGGCCUGCGCGGAAGAUGUAACGGGGCUAAACCAUGCACCGAAGCUGCGGCAGCGACACUAUGUGUUGUUGGGUAGGGGAGCGUUCUGUAAGCCUGCGAAGGUGGCCUGUGAGGGUUGCUGGAGGUAUCAGAAGUGCGAAUGCUGACAUAAGUAACGAUAAAGCGGGUGAAAAGCCCGCUCGCCGGAAGACCAAGGGUUCCUGUCCAACGUUAAUCGGGGCAGGGUGAGUCGACCCCUAAGGCGAGGCCGAAAGGCGUAGUCGAUGGGAAACGGGUUAAUAUUCCCGUACUUGGUGUUACUGCGAAGGGGGGACGGAGAAGGCUAUGUUGGCCGGGCGACGGUUGUCCCGGUUUAAGCGUGUAGGUGUGUGUUCCAGGUAAAUCCGGUUCACUUUAACACUGAGGCGUGACGACGAGGCACUACGGUGCUGAAGCAACAAAUGCCCUGCUUCCAGGAAAAGCCUCUAAGCAUCAGGUAACAUCAAAUCGUACCCCAAACCGACACAGGUGGUCAGGUAGAGAAUACCAAGGCGCUUGAGAGAACUCGGGUGAAGGAACUAGGCAAAAUGGUGCCGUAACUUCGGGAGAAGGCACGCUGACACGUAGGUGAAGUGAUUUACUCACGGAGCUGAAGUCAGUCGAAGAUACCAGCUGGCUGCAACUGUUUAUUAAAAACACAGCACUGUGCAAACACGAAAGUGGACGUAUACGGUGUGACGCCUGCCCGGUGCCGGAAGGUUAAUUGAUGGGGUCAGCGCAAGCGAAGCUCCUGAUCGAAGCCCCGGUAAACGGCGGCCGUAACUAUAACGGUCCUAAGGUAGCGAAAUUCCUUGUCGGGUAAGUUCCGACCUGCACGAAUGGCGUAAUGAUGGCCAGGCUGUCUCCACCCGAGACUCAGUGAAAUUGAACUCGCUGUGAAGAUGCAGUGUACCCGCGGCAAGACGGAAAGACCCCGUGAACCUUUACUAUAGCUUGACACUGAACAUUGAGCCUUGAUGUGUAGGAUAGGUGGGAGGCUUUGAAGCGUGGACGCCAGUCUGCGUGGAGCCGACCUUGAAAUACCACCCUUUAAUGUUUGAUGUUCUAACGUGGACCCGUGAUCCGGGUUGCGGACAGUGUCUGGUGGGUAGUUUGACUGGGGCGGUCUCCUCCUAAAGAGUAACGGAGGAGCACGAAGGUUGGCUAAUCCUGGUCGGACAUCAGGAGGUUAGUGCAAUGGCAUAAGCCAGCUUGACUGCGAGCGUGACGGCGCGAGCAGGUGCGAAAGCA